GGACAUCUUUGGAGGCCAUUAUGCUGUGUGCUGUCCACCUCAAUUGCUGUGGUAGUAGGCAUCGCCUUAAUUCAUAAGCAUAUGCUCAGCAUGUACUCUGCGAAAGGUACUGGGGAUCGAACUCGGGUUCUUGCGCUUUCACAGCAGGCAGCGAAACCACUGAGCUAAAUCUCCGGCCCCAGCACCCUCCUUUUCUUCGUUGUGUGUUUCCCUUUUAUGCUCCUUGUUAUGAGGUGAACUGUGUCCUCCCAAAAUGCAUACGUGAAACCCUAUCUCCCAGCACCUCGGAUGUGACUGUAUUUGGUUGAUAGGGGCUUUAGAGAGGUGAUGAGGGUGAGCCCCAACCCAAUACUUAGAAUACUGGUGCCCUUCUAUGGAGAGACUGGACCGAAGAUAAACACAGAGGAAGUCACAUGAAGACACAGAAGGGUCAUCUGCGAGCCAUGGAGAGACCAAUUCUGAUGGCACCUUGGCCUUGGACUUCUGGCCUCCAGACUUAUGAGAAAGUUUUGUUGAGAAGCCACCCAUUCGUGGCACUUGGUUGUGGUCAUCUUUGAAAGCCAGUGACUCCUCCAGAGACUGUGCCCCUGGGCCACCAUCCAUCCAUGUGGAGCUGUGGGCCCUCCAUGCUGCCAGCUCACUCAGUGCCUACAUUUCACCAGGACUGUUUCCCACCCCUGGGCCUCUGCUUUGUUCUGGGUGGUGUUUGUUUUCAGAACUGUUGUUCCCUGAGAAUGGAUGAAGAGCACUGCUCUGUGUCUUGGGAGACUCCUGCAGUGGGGAGGGACUCUGGUGUCCAGGGCUGGGCUUGUGGGAGCCAGAGUGGUCAGAGACACCUCCCUGAGCUCAGUUCACAGCUGUCAGAGGACUGUUGAGCCACCUGUUCUCAGCACCAUCUCUGGCGGUGGAUUCCUCAUGUGCUGCCCUCUGUGAGCAUGCACAGAACAGAAAGAAAUGUGUUCCUCCUCACUAGCAAGGCAGGAAUGUGGGAUAUCAUUUCACUUAUAAUUCAUGCUUCUUCUUCUUCCUCUUUUUGAAAUUAAU
Molecule: long non-coding RNA, 1044 nt
Filed under: Heterocephalus glaber (naked mole-rat)
Lineage: Eukaryota; Metazoa; Chordata; Mammalia; Rodentia; Bathyergidae
Description: lncRNA (ENSHGLG00000029355.2)
Source: RNAcentral